AUUGAACGCUGGCGGCAUGCUUUACACAUGCAAGUCGGACGGCAGCACAGAGAAGCUUGCUUCUUGGGUGGCGAGUGGCGAACGGGUGAGUAAUAUAUCGGAACGUACCGAGUAAUGGGGGAUAACUAAUCGAAAGAUUAGCUAAUACCGCAUAUUCUCUGAGGAGGAAAGCAGGGGACCUUCGGGCCUUGCGUUAUUCGAGCGGCCGAUAUCUGAUUAGCUAGUUGGUGGGGUAAAGGCCUACCAAGGCGACGAUCAGUAGCGGGUCUGAGAGGAUGAUCCGCCACACUGGGACUGAGACACGGCCCAGACUCCUACGGGAGGCAGCAGUGGGGAAUUUUGGACAAUGGGCGCAAGCCUGAUCCAGCCAUGCCGCGUGUCUGAAGAAGGCCUUCGGGUUGUAAAGGACUUUUGUCAGGGAAGAAAAGGCUGUUGCUAAUAUCGACAGCUGAUGACGGUACCUGAAGAAUAAGCACCGGCUAACUACGUGCCAGCAGCCGCGGUAAUACGUAGGGUGCGAGCGUUAAUCGGAAUUACUGGGCGUAAAGCGAGCGCAGGCGGUUUGAUAAGUCUGAAGUUAAAGGCUGUGGCUCAACCAUAGUUCGCUUUGGAAACUGUCAAACUUGAGUGCAGAAGGGGAGAGUGGAAUUCCAUGUGUAGCGGUGAAAUGCGUAGAUAUAUGGAGGAACACCGGUGGCGAAAGCGGCUCUCUGGUCUGUAACUGACGCUGAGGCUCGAAAGCGUGGGGAGCGAACAGG
RNAcentral lists this ribosomal RNA (758 nucleotides) under Neisseria subflava. RNAcentral's name for it is "bacterial SSU rRNA". It matches the Rfam family "Bacterial small subunit ribosomal RNA", at positions 28 to 776 of the family's 1533-position model. Lineage: Bacteria; Pseudomonadati; Pseudomonadota; Betaproteobacteria; Neisseriales; Neisseriaceae. The record is from RNAcentral.